RNAcentral lists this ribosomal RNA (233 nucleotides) under uncultured bacterium. RNAcentral describes it as "partial 16S ribosomal RNA". It matches the Rfam family "Archaeal small subunit ribosomal RNA", at positions 745 to 977 of the family's 1478-position model. The record is from RNAcentral.
UCCAGGGUGUAAACGCUGCUUGCUUGAUGUUAGUUGGGCUCCGAGCCCAAUUAGUGUCGGAGAGAAGUUGUUAAGCAAGCUGCCUGGGAAGUACGGUCGCAAGGCUGAAACUUAAAGGAAUUGGCGGGGGAGCACAGCAACAGGUGGAGCGUGCGGUUUAAUUGGAUCCAACGCCGGAAAACUCACCGGAGGCGACGGUUACAUGAAGGCCAAGCUGAUGACUUUGCCCGAUU